Molecule: long non-coding RNA, 1498 nt
Filed under: Struthio camelus australis
Lineage: Eukaryota; Metazoa; Chordata; Aves; Struthioniformes; Struthionidae
Description: lncRNA (ENSSCUG00000019105.1)
Source: RNAcentral
AGAAGUUGUCUAAAACACGUCAACAGUUCAAGGUCCUUUUUCAAGAGAGACUCUAAUCAAUAAUAGAAGUUCUCAAUUAGCAACAAGACUUGGGCUUUAGGUGCUUUUGUCAGUUGCCUUCAAGUUUCACCUGUCUCCUUGUAGUUACUGUUUCAUUCUUUGUGCAGUCUGUGAAAAGUCUUUGUACGUUUGAGGAAAAGGAACAGGAAUUCCUUGAAAAAUCCAUCAGUACUUUCUCCUCCUGACUAGACAACUUGAUUGACCAGCAUUGUGGCUGAAUGCUUGGGUCAAAAGUUUGCGCUGGAAAUUAAGCACAGAUUUAAAAUUCACUACCAAUCUUUCCGUUACAUUUGCUUUGUUUUCUUUUUCACCUUUAUAUUUGUCCAACAUGUUUUGACUCUUCUAAAAAUGUUCAUUAAACCACAAACUGACCUUAAUAUUCUCUUAGAAGAUCACUUUUCCCUAAAAAGAUAGGAUAAACUGCUGCAAGAUACUGUUAUGCCAAAAGUGUAAAUGGCUGCUAUUAAGCAGAAAAUUACAGACCUUGUUACAGCUUAUGGAUAUUCUAAACUCCCUUCCUUCAGGCUAGGUGGAAAGAGCAAUUAAAUAUUCCUUUAUGUAACAAUAACUGGAAAGAAUAGGAAGUCACCUAUGAAGUUUGGGCAGGGGGCACGGCUGGCUGAAUCUGCUUCUAAAUCACACAAGUGUGAUGUGUGCUUAUGUGUGAUCAAAACCAAGCAGCGGGUAAGAGAAGCAUUCACAUGCAUGGCUGUGCACUGAAGAACCUUUAGUCCUUGCUGCUCACCUUUAAUAUUAAAGUGAAGGAGGCCGUGGUUCCACGCUCAGUAGUGCAAAUCUAACCCAGGUUCACAGUAUCUCAUGUAGAGUUUCCUGCUACUGCCUAAGGCAGGAAUUUCCCUCAAACAAGAUGAGAGUCUGUCUGAAUGUCACAGAAGAUCUCUCGUACUUGAUGACUGUUAUCCUAGAUCAUCACCUUCUGGAAAUGGAGCAGAUCAAGAUGUUUCUAAAGAGCAGCAAGAGGCACCUAAAAUCACUCUUAGGUACAGUGAUUAUGCUAGUCUUCGCGCUCCUGUCUCUGCAAUCAGAAGGGUGGAUGAGAUUCAUCCGAGGGUGCUUAGAGAGCCGGCUGAUGGCAUAGCAAAGUUGCCUUGACUGCUUUGCUAAAGCCAACGGAUCUUUUCAGCAGCCAUUGGAAGAUGCCCGGAACACAAGGAGGGUGCUCCAGGAGUGAAGGGGGAGAGCAAGCCCAUGAAUGGACCCCUUUGAUCAAAAGUUCUCUGCAGCUGUGAAUGUUUUGGCUCUCUCCAUGUAUGCCAAAACCUAUCUUAAAACAGUAGCAUGGCAGGCAUGACGAAAAUGUGUUCUGUUCAGCCUGGGUCCUGAGUCGGUGAGAGCAGGGGGAACAGGCAAGGGUGUUUGACCAGACUUCUGGGUUGUGUUCCAGAGCGCAAGGAAAAUGAGAGAUUGAGCAAGGAGU